CCGAGAGCCGUGCGGGGCCGAGCCUCGUGCCCCGAGGCACGCCGAGCCAAGUCACCCCUGCAGCCCGCGGCGCCGGAACUUGGGGGCGCAGUGGAGGAGAUGCCGCUGUCCCGUCGGUCUGGGGACAGCCCAGCUCCCCGGAUCCCGGGCUGGAGAGACGCGUCGCGGCCCCGGGGCCUGGUGGCACGAGCAGGAAGGAGGACCCGGCGGCGGGCUCUGCCUGGGCUUGCCUGGGCUUGUUCCGAGCCGGGCUGCUUCUCGGUGACCACGCAGAUCGGGGGCAUUUGGAGAUUUUGCGGGAGUCCUGCAGCCAAGCUCCGGGGCAGGAGAGGCCUGGAAGCCUGCACUACCUGCUCGCCCCGUCCCAGCAUGCACCCAGGUGCUGGGGAGAGGCAGGACAGGCCUGUCCCCCGAGUCCCCUCCGGAUGCCGUGGACCGGCCAGCUGUGAGUGUUUCUUUGGCAGUGUCUUAGCUGGUUGUUGUGAGCAAUAGUAAGGAAGCAAUCAGCAAGUAUACUGCCCUAGAAGUGCUGCACGUUGUGGGGCCCAAGAGGGAAGAUGAAGCGAGAGAUGCCCAGACCAGUGGGAGACGCCAGGACUUCGGAAGCUCUUCUGCGCCACGGUGGGUGGUGAGGGCGGCUGGGAAAGUGAGCUCCAGGGCCCCAGGAGCAGCCUGCUCGUGGGUGCGGAAGGAAAAAGGCACAGGGGCUUGGUGUGGGCGGCUUUUGGCUGGGAGAAGUUUGCACGUAGGGAGAAUAGUAGCCAGUGUUUGCAGAGCACUUACUAUGCAGGAAGGCCUGUCCUAAGUAUUGUAAGUGUAUUACAUCAUGUACAAGUGUCUGUGAUUAACCCCGUCUUGCAGAGAAGGAAACAAAAGUACAAACAGAAAAUGUAACUAAGCAUGCAAUUAAUAAAAAGGGACCAGGUUUUGAACGCGAGCAAUCUGGCUCAAGAAUCUGCGCCCAACCACCGGCUCCUGUUCUUAGAGAUGAACGUGGAGUCCUGGAGACUGCUCAACAUUGUGACUUGACUGUGAGCGUACGCGCUCCCUGUCCCCAGGAGACAGAUUUCCAGUGCAAUCAUAGAAAGUGCCUGUGUGGGCUUCGGGAGAUGUGUCUGCCUUGGGGAGAAUUUUCCUUUUCAGCUAGAGCCAGGCCCAGGAUGUUGACGUCAGUGAGACGCUGGUGACGUUCUCUGCUCCAGUGGCUGAUGAGAAAAGUUCCUCCAAGCCAGCUCAGUUGAGAAGAAUUAAGUUCUCUGGGUCCCACUGGCUUCACCUACAGAUGCCAACUUUGAGGCCAGUGAACUGUGAGGCCAGCUGGGCUGAUUGCCAUGGCAACAGGAAUUGGACCAAAGUCACCGGAGGAUGGAGAGGGAAGACACAGUGGUGGCUUCCCCAGGUCUUGGACCACAAGGCACAGCCGUGGCCUCCAGGAACCCUGAGAUAACCCGUUAGUGGGUCCUGCACUCCAACAGAGCUCAUGCAAUCAGCCUCUGGUCCUCACCCUCCUCCCAUUGGUGUCGUUGUGCUCUCUAACAUUGACAUUGAGCAGUGAGUGCUCCAGAUCUUGUUCCACUGAUUUUUUCCACUGUUCUCCAGUCUAGCACUUUCUGAAAUUCAUCCAAGCCUAAGAGGUGACGCCAAACGUAAGUGUCUUACACCUCGGACCCCAUGGACUAAGACAAGCCUCUGGGGUCCAUGUGGCACCAAGGAUGGGGCCUUCUAGUACCUUUCACACAGGCCAGGGACAGCACCUGCUGCGACCCCCACCCCCAGCCUCUGCUGCUUCUCCCGUUGCCCUUCCAGCCACUGCCCUGGGCACCUCCCCUGCUCCCGCCUCCCUGCCUGGGCCCAUCUUUCUUUGCACCUCACCAAUUGCGGGGCUUCCUAGUGCUGGAGGGGAAGGGAGCCUGCUUCCAUUCUCACCACUCUGAAAGAAGACCCUGCAGAGAGGUUUUCUGGAAUUUGGAGCCUAACCUUGGCCUUGACACAGUCCAGAUGAGAAGGCCGUCCCCCAGUUAAGCCAGCCCUCCCUCCCUCUCAAUGCUGGAGAGGAAACCAGGCAGCUGGUUGCUUCAGCAAACCCCCUCCCUAUGGGAAUUGUCCUUUUCUUCCUCAAAUAGACUGGAGUGCAGAGGACUUGCUUCAGAGAGAGCCCCUUUGUAACGCACAUUGCACGGGCCGUGCCCCAUGCCCACUCUGCCACAAACUCCCCUCAGCUGCCCAGCCCCGUGGAGCCAGGCGUGGGCUGAAGUGGGGCCAAUGAAAUGCCUGGAAUGCCAGCCGCAGUGACAGGCCAGCACUCAGAUGCCUCUCGGGAGUUCUGACCGAAGCAGCACUGAGGACUGCUUCAGAGCAGAAGUCUACGCCAUUUUCCCCAGUUCUAGGCAGAAGUAAAGAAUGUCUCUACCUUCUCCCAACCAGCAAUUGAUUCAGAGUCCUGAGCUUUUAAAUUAAAGGGACCCCUCUGUUGCUUUAUGCAGUAGCCAGCUUAUUCAUUUGAGUUCAGGUGAAAUCAUUUUCAAGUAACCUCUUCCUAUCCAGCUUUACUUUUAGUUAUGCUGACAUAAAAACAAUAAAAAUUGUCCUCCUCAGAGUUCACCUGUAAAAGUUCCUGGAUAAUUAGUAAGGAAACAGAAAGAGCAGAUAGUUGUUGCUUCAGAUAAAAGUGAUGUCUGGGUUGGGCACGGUGGCGCAUGCCUGUAAUCCCAGCACUUGGGGAGGCCCAGGUGGAUGGAUCCCUUGAGCUCAGGAGUUUCAGACCAGCCUGGGCAACAUCUCUACAAAAAAUACAAAAAUUAGCCAGGCAUAGUGGCAGGACUGUAGUCCCAGCUACUCAGGAGGCUGAGGUCAGGGGAUGGCUUGAGCCCAGGAGGCACAGAUUGAAGUGAGCUGAGAUUGCGCCACUGUAUUCCAGCCUAGGUGACAGAGCCAGACCCUGUCUCAAAUUAAAAAAAACUCUUUGUGGUCAUUUAAUUUACUUCUGCAUUCUUUUUUUUUUUUUUUUGAAAUGGGCAGUGGUACCAUCUCAGCUCACUGCAACCUCUGCCUUGGGGGUUCAAGUGAUUCUCCUGCCUCAGCCUCCCGAGUAGCUGGGAUUACAGGCACCCGCCACCACGCCCAGCUAAUUUUUGUAUUUUUAGUAGAGACGGGGCUUUGCCAUGUUGACCAGGCUGGACUCAAACUCCUGACCUCAGGUGAUCCGCCCACCUCGGCCUCCCAAAGCACUGGGAUUACAGGAAUGAGCCACUGCACUCGGCCUACUUCUGCAUUCCUUAGAGUACAUCCUAGCUAGGAUAUAUUCACUUGUCUUUAGAGCUAACAGCAGAAGAAAGGUACCUAGAUGCUUAUCUAGCUCUUUAUCUUUCUAGAAAUUCUAGAAGAUGAGAGGGGCAGUGGUGGCUCCAAGGGAGUGAUUUUAGGAUGGACUGGGACAGAGAGGGGCUGCUUACACAUACUCACACAGAGGCCAUUAAUUUAGGGAGUUCAAGGUCCAGGAGGUUGACGGCAUCUAGGCCUGUGGCAGAGUGCACUCCUGCUUUGGGGAAUGUAUGGGCAGCUUCUUGCCUGUAGUUGGAGGGUUAGAGAGAGGGAUCAAUAAUUUCAUGGUUGGACUUGAGUUUGGAGCGAGUGGAGUUAGAUACAAAUUCUAUGUUUUUGGAGAAAGUAUUUGAUCUUCUUGGCUGUGAGGCAAAGCGAGGUUUAAAAAUAUUUUUCACUUAAAAAUAUAUAUAUAUGCAUGUAUAUUUAAUACUGUCUAUGGAUUGUGCCAAUAUCUAUUUCAUGGUUUUGAUAUUGUGUAGUUAUACAAGGAGUUACCACUGAACGAAACUGGGGGAAGGGUACACAGAAUCUCUGUACUUUUUUUGUUGUUGUUGCAAUUUCCUGUAAAUCUAUGAUUAUUUUAAAAUAAAAAAGUUAAAGCAUACGUAUUUACAUUUGAUUAAAUGCAGUGUGAUAUCCUGGGUUGGAUUUUGGAACAAAACAAGGCAUGAGUGAAAAAACUGGUAAAAUCCAAAAAAGCCUUUAGUUAAAAGUAAUACCAGUGUUAAUUUCUUAGUUUUGACAAAUGUGCCAUGGCUGUGUAAGAUGCAAAUGUUAGAGGAAACUGGGCGAAGAAUUUGAGGGAACUCUCUGUACUAUUCUUUGCAGCUUUUCUGUAAAUCUACAAUUAUUCCAAAAUAAAAGUCUAUUAAAAAUGUAA
This 4204-nucleotide long non-coding RNA is filed under the name Homo sapiens (human). RNAcentral's name for it is "LHRI_LNC892.2". The stretch from base 452 to 528 matches the Rfam family "mir-34 microRNA precursor family". The record is from RNAcentral. Lineage: Eukaryota; Metazoa; Chordata; Mammalia; Primates; Hominidae.